UGAGACGUUCACACCGGAGCCUGGAACCACCCCCCCCCCCCCCCCAGAGGAUAUCGGGGGGUCGGGCCCCGCCAAGGAUGCACCGUGCCAAAGGAUGACAUCACAGUUUAUUCUCUCCCUACAGAAAAAAAAGGAAAGAGUCUGAGUGGAUUUUUUUUUUAGAAUUUUAGAAUGCAGCGUUACCGUCGGUGCUUUGUUUUGAUUCCUGGAUUCUUGUUUCGCCUAACCCCUUUUGUUUGAAAGGCACCCCCCCCCCUUCCCCCACCCUCCCCCUGCCAUUUUUAGAACACUGGCAGUUGUUCUGAGAAUACCAAAAAAGCCGCGUUUCAUAGCAUCACCUGAUUGAUUAUAAACCCUGCAAUGUAGGGCUGAUUAAAUACAGAAAAAAAUGUGAAAUUUACGGGGAAGGGUAAGAGCCUGGCAGCGAUCCAGCGCCGUGUUUGUUUUACAUCCGCAGAAUUGUUCCUCUUUCAUGUUUCCAGAGGACUGUGAAAAAUGAUUCAGACUCUUACACUCACCGCAAUUGUUUUGAUUACAUAAUUGCUUGCAAUUGUUUCUCAUUAUAUUGAGAUAAUGUCCUAGUAACAAAAAAAAUUAAAAAAACACCUGCGCAAAUGAGGCACAACAAAGCAGAGGCUUCCAAACAGGUGUGGCUCAUCCAAUAAUUAAGCAGAUGGCAUCCCAGCAUGCAUUGGGGCGCAUAUUAAAUUGCUGGACAGGCCUGCUUGGAUAUAAUUAUGGCUGGCAUGGCUGCUCGAGGAGACCUCUCUGACUUUGACAGAGAUGGUGAUUGCCGGUGCUCGUUUGGCAAGAGCUUCGGCGUCCGAGACGGCUCGACUUGCUGAUGUUUCACAAGCAGCGGAGUGUAGGGUGAUGUCAGCGUGGAUCUCGGAGGGAAUGACAUCAUCAGCGAAAGGGCAACAGUGCACAGAAGUGCACACUACUAAAUCAUGCGAGGAUACAGCAACGGUGGCCCAACAAAGAUUUGUUGCUUCCCAGUUUCAACCUGAGUGACAGGGAUGAAAACAGAGCCACACUUCAGCUGGGGGGAGAGAAGAAGAAGCAGAAGAAGAAGCAGAAGAAGAAGAAGAAG
Long non-coding RNA from Anguilla rostrata (American eel), 1093 nucleotides. RefSeq lists it as uncharacterized. The transcript is spliced from 2 exons. NCBI's taxonomy places the organism in Eukaryota, Metazoa, Chordata, Actinopteri, Anguilliformes, Anguillidae. The record is from RefSeq and is a predicted model, not a curated record.